Salvelinus sp. IW2-2015 is the source of this 377-nucleotide non-coding RNA. NCBI's taxonomy places the organism in Eukaryota, Metazoa, Chordata, Actinopteri, Salmoniformes, Salmonidae. The record is from RefSeq and is a predicted model, not a curated record.
AGAAAACAGCAGUGGAUGGGAAACGACAAGAGAUUAUUGUCCUGGACUCCAAACGGAGCAAUGCCAUCAACAUCGGGCUGACCGUCCUCCCCCUCCCCGCACCAUCAAGACAGCCAUCCUCAACUUUGACGAGUACGCUUUGAACAAGGAGGGGAUCGAGAAAAUCCUGACGAUGAUCCCCACGGAGGAGGAGAAGCAGAGGAUCCAGGAUGCUCAGCUGGUGAACCCUGACGUCCCCCUGGGAUCAGCAGAGCAGUUCCUCCUCACCCUGUCCUCCAUCACGGAGCUGUCCGCCCGGCUGCAGCUCUGGGCCUUCAAGAUGGACUACGAGGUCACGGAGAAGGAAGUGCCGAGGAGCCUCUGCAGGACCUUAAGGA